Molecule: long non-coding RNA, 1777 nt
Organism: Mercenaria mercenaria
Lineage: Eukaryota; Metazoa; Mollusca; Bivalvia; Venerida; Veneridae
Exons: 5
Source: RefSeq, a predicted model, not a curated record
GUUUUGAAAUUAUUGGAUACUUGCUUAUACUUUAUAUUAUUUAUUUGAUUUAAUUUUAUAGAUCUGAAGAAGCUUCUUCUCUGCACAUCAACUGAAAUUAAGAAGAUGUUUGAGAACAUCAAAAAUGACAGUCAAAAUACAGCAAUGGAAAAUAAGACUGCUGGUUGUCCAAGAGUGACAUUAACCCCAUCAUAAAUUACCUUCUUGAAAAACAAAAAAAAGACAGACUGAGAGGAAGGGUUUCAAUGAUGGCACAGACUCUAUUAUAGGUCUACAAGCUACCCCAACCAAAGAAGUUUCUGUAAAGAAAGGAGUACUUCCAACCCAGCUCUGUUUCGUUAUACUGUGCAUAUGGCAGAAGUGGUAUAAGGAAAUAAUAUAAUUGACAGCAACAACAACAAAAAAUAUGAAUUUUUCCAUUGAUUGGUGGUGGAGGGGAUAAUAUUGUUGUCAGUUUGAGAAGUAGAAGAAAAAGUAAAUGACUCGGAUCAAAGACCUUUUCUGAACAGAUUGAGAAAACAGAAGUCUACAAAACAGAUCAAAGAUGAUAAAAAGGACGAUGUUUAUGCUCUGGAAAGAAAAAGAUGCUGUUUGAAAUAGAGGACAUUAAGUAAAAGAAAAGCAAAGACCAACAGCUAUUUCUGUUAGAAAAAUAAAAAAAACAACAAUAAAUUAAAGUGAUCAGUUUUCCCAUUUGAAAACGAGGGUAUAAUAUGUAUCUACAUUUGUGUGCGCAUUUUAGCGUUGUGAUCAAAUAUCUAUUUCCCCUGAAAAGAAUGUAAUAUAAAUUUGUACAAUAGUGUAAUUGUCCCCGGGAUGGAUCAUGAAGUAUAUUAUAAAUAUUCAGGGUGUCAUGUGCAGAACCCAGACCCUUAUCUCAAAGGUCAAGGUAGCAAUGUUUGGUAACGUUUUUGUAAUAAGCUGGUAUAGAUCUAGUAACCGUUACUGGGAAUGAUUUGAAUUUCACACAUGUUGAUUGUGAUGACAUGACAAACACUGUGUAAGUUCCAUAACUCUGUUUUGAUAUUAUGGCUCUUUUUUACUCGGGAUUUUUUUUGUUGAAAAUAUUGUUUGGAUCUACUUUAAUUUAAUACUAUCAGAGAUUUGUACAUUUGUUUCUCAUUAUGCGAGUAAAUAGACCAAGAAUCAUUACUCAGACAUGCAUUUUGUUAGUAUGAGGUGGAUGAAUUUGUUAUGACCCUUUGUGGUCUUUAUGUAUUUUUUUUGUUAAAUUUUUAGUUUAGAUUCACUUUUCAAAUACUAAAAAUGUUACAGCUUUUAAACUUUAUACACAGUAACACUUGUCUUAAUUAUCAUUAAAUUAGUAAGGAGUAAGAACCAUAGCUUCCUUUGCAGCUUUUAAACUAAGUACACUUUUCUUAAUUAUCAAUAUUGUCACCAAACUUGGUGUAUAGAAAGCGUAUAUAAUACUUUACUAGUGGUUGUACUUAAGGCUGAAAAUGUGGUUUUAUGCCAGUGUUCUGUUCAGAAAUUGCAUAAAUGAAGCAGACAUUGUCUGAAAGUGAUCUCUAGAUUAAGUUUUAAAAUGAUCUCUUUUGCUUAUAACGAAAUUUACUAGUUUAUCAAUUCUAUACAUUUAUAUAUAAUUCUUUUAACUCAUUAUGUUAAAAUACAUAUAAUAACAUUCUUAUAUAUUUUGAAAUUGAAAAAAAAAAUUGAUAAAUAUUCUGUUCCUGUACAUCUAUAAUUAUGAAGAAAAAUGUAAUAAAAUUUCAAACAAGUCAUGUGAGUUGUCAAUAAAAUUUUAACAAAUAUC